Non-coding RNA from Podarcis lilfordi (Lilford's wall lizard), 73 nucleotides. The record is from the annotation of a GenBank genome assembly. Lineage: Eukaryota; Metazoa; Chordata; Lepidosauria; Squamata; Lacertidae.
GUCAGACCCUCAGUUGGUUAGAGCAUGGUGCUGAUAACGCCAAGGUUGCAGGUUCGAUCCCCAUUAUGGGACA